AGGUAAAGGCUCACCAAGGCGACGAUCCGUAGCUGGUCUGAGAGACGACCAGCCACACUGGAACUGAGACACGGUCCAGACUCCUACGGGAGGCAGCAGUGGGGAAUUUUGGACAAUGGGGGCAACCCUGAUCCAGCCAUUCCGCGUGAGUGAAGAAGGCCUUCGGGUUGUAAAGCUCUUUCAGCAGGAACGAAACGGUGGCCACUAAUACUGGCUACUAAUGACGGUACCUGAAGAAGAAGCACCGGCUAACUACGUGCCAGCAGCCGCGGUAAUACGUAGGGUGCGAGCGUUAAUCGGAAUUACUGGGCGUAAAGCGUGCGCAGGCGGUUCCAUAAGACAGAUGUGAAAUCCCCGGGGCUUAACCUGGGAACUGCGUUUGUGACUGUGGGACUCGAGUGUGGCAGAGGGGGGUGGAAUUCCACGUGUAGCAGUGAAAUGCGUAGAGAUGUGGAGGAACACCGAUGGCGAAGGCAGCCCCCCUGGGUCAACACUGACGCUCAUGCACGAAAGCGUGGGGAG
RNAcentral lists this ribosomal RNA (522 nucleotides) under uncultured bacterium. RNAcentral's name for it is "bacterial SSU rRNA". It matches the Rfam family "Bacterial small subunit ribosomal RNA", at positions 255 to 768 of the family's 1533-position model. The record is from RNAcentral.